This is a non-coding RNA of Pelobates cultripes (western spadefoot toad), 281 nucleotides long. Lineage: Eukaryota; Metazoa; Chordata; Amphibia; Anura; Pelobatidae. The record is from the annotation of a GenBank genome assembly.
AUUCUGGUUCCUGAUUCUUCUUCCUUAUUCUUGGUUCCUGAUUCCCAAUAAACCUCCCAGCUGCUGAUCUUUGGCUUUGACCCUGACCAUGCUUUUUGUCUCCAACCUUUGACCUUUGGCAUCCUGCUCCAAUUCAUGGAUUUCCUCGCUUCUGAAUUUCGGCUUGACUCUUGACUUGACUUGACUCUUUUGCUGCCACCCCUGAUCUUUGGACCUCCUGAUGCCACUUUCUAUCUGCUCCUUUCUGGCUACAUCACUUCCUCUGUAAGUUAUUGCACCCA